AGUGAACGCUGGCGGUAGGCCUAACACAUGCAAGUCGAACGGCAGCACAGUAAGCGCUUGCUCUUACGGUUGGCGAGUGGCGGACGGGUGAGGAAUACAUCGGAAUCUACUUUUUCGUGGGGGAUAACGGAGGGAAACUUACGCUAAUACCGCAUACGACCUACGGGUGAAAGCAGGGGAUCUUCGCACCUUGCGCGAUUGAAUUAGCUGAUGCCGGAUUAGCUAGUUGGCUUGGUAAGGGCCCACCAAGGCAACGAUCCGUAGCGGGUCUGAGAGGAUGAUCGGCCACACUGGAACUGAGACACGGUCCAGACUCCUACGGGAGGCAGCAGUAGGGAAUCUUGGACAAUGGGCGAAAGCCUGACGCAGCAAUACCGCGUGAGUGAAGAAGGCCUUCGGGUUGUAAAGCCCUUUUGUUGGGAAAGAAAAGCAGCAGGUUAAUCCACGGCUGUUCUGACGGUACCCAAAGAAUAAGCACCGGCUAACUUCGUG
Molecule: ribosomal RNA, 492 nt
Filed under: uncultured bacterium
Lineage: Bacteria
Description: partial 16S ribosomal RNA
Rfam family: Bacterial small subunit ribosomal RNA
Source: RNAcentral